UCAGAACGUCGUGAGACAGUUCGGUCCCUAUCCGUCGCGGGCGUAGGAAAUUUGAGAGGAGCUGUCCUUAGUACGAGAGGACCGGGAUGGACUGACCUCUGGUGUACCAGUUGUUCCGCCAGGAGCAUAGCUGGGUAGCUAAGUCGGGAAGGGAUAAACGCUGAAGGCAUCUAAGCGUGAAGCCCACCUCAAGAUAAGAUUUCCCAUAGAGUAAUCUAGUAAGAUCCCUUGAAGAACACAAGGUUGAUAGGUGAGAGGUGUAAGUGUGGUAACAUAUUUAGCUGACUCAUACUAAUAGAUCGAGGGCUUGACCA
Molecule: ribosomal RNA, 314 nt
Filed under: Clostridium intestinale DSM 6191
Lineage: Bacteria; Bacillati; Bacillota; Clostridia; Eubacteriales; Clostridiaceae
Description: bacterial LSU rRNA
Rfam family: Bacterial large subunit ribosomal RNA
Source: RNAcentral